UACGUAGGGUGCGAGCGUUAAUCGGAAUUACUGGGCGUAAAGCGUGCGUAGGCGGUUCGUUAAGUUCGUUGUGAAAGCCCCGGGCUCAACCUGGGAACUGCAAUGGAAACUGGCGGGCUUGAGUGUGGCAGAGGGGGGUGGAAUUCCGCGUGUAGCAGUGAAAUGCGUAGAGAUGCGGAGGAACACCGAUGGCGAAGGCAGCCCCCUGGGCCAACACUGACGCUCAGGCACGAAAGCGUGGGGGAGCAAACAGG
Molecule: ribosomal RNA, 254 nt
Filed under: uncultured bacterium
Lineage: Bacteria
Description: partial 16S ribosomal RNA
Rfam family: Bacterial small subunit ribosomal RNA
Source: RNAcentral